CGUAGAGCUUGCCUUCGGGGCCGUAGCUGUAAUGCAUGCCGCCGAAUUCGAGAUCGGCGCUUUUAGCGAGUGCCGUCUCGUAGAGAAGGAGG
Molecule: small RNA, 92 nt
Filed under: Sinorhizobium meliloti 2011
Lineage: Bacteria; Pseudomonadati; Pseudomonadota; Alphaproteobacteria; Hyphomicrobiales; Rhizobiaceae
Description: putative ncRNA
Source: RNAcentral